CAGGGAUUGUUUAAACAGGUCUAGCUCAGUCUGUAGCCAAUGAGAUGUUGGUGUUGGGUUUGUGUGUUUCCUGUUUUCACUCUCUACCAGUGGAGGAAGACACAAAUGGGAUCCUAGAAAGGGAUCUUGCAAUUAGUCCUUAAACUCAAUCCCUGAACCCAGCUGAAAACAAUAGUCUUUUUACCUAAUGGGUUUCAUGUCCAAUCAUCAUCAGUCUGAAUGAGCUCACCAGCUAACUCUGGGGAAACAGCUUCUAUGAUAUGUAUACCCCUUACAUAAAGGAGAACAGCAAGGAAAGAAUAAAAUGUGACUCAUGGAAGUUAUCUUCUACAGAACAAUCAACCAAGGACCUCACAGACAGGAAGGCCAUACACACAUCGAAGAAAAAGAGACUGGAGAGAGAAAAAGAAAAGAAAGGGAGAACAUCGUUAUUAUUUUAGAGAGCAAUAAAGCUCUUAAUGAAA
Molecule: long non-coding RNA, 464 nt
Organism: Hemicordylus capensis (graceful crag lizard)
Lineage: Eukaryota; Metazoa; Chordata; Lepidosauria; Squamata; Cordylidae
Exons: 2
Source: RefSeq, a predicted model, not a curated record